Molecule: long non-coding RNA, 38916 nt
Organism: Ictalurus punctatus (channel catfish)
Lineage: Eukaryota; Metazoa; Chordata; Actinopteri; Siluriformes; Ictaluridae
Source: Ensembl
GCAGGCUUACAGAAGAACACAAUCAGAAAUAAUAACACCAACCUGAUAUUAUAAUUUGUCUUUCCUGGAGGGAGGUUCCAGGUACUAGAGCGGAGGGAAAUGAAAAGGAGGACCACAUAUUCUCAGUGCAAUUCCGACCUGGGCUUCUGUUUCAUCCAUAGCCUCCUAAGAUUAAUAAGAUAUCUUCCACUGUUUUGAUAACAGAGUGCUCUUUUCCUCCCUGCUCAUGACUGUAUGAAAUGAAACAGGAAGAGGUAUUUGGCUAAUCUCCUUCUAAAAGGAUCAGUGCAAGGUUUCUUUUAAUGCUUGAGUGAUGAGGAAUUCUUGAAUGAUGUCCACUGAUGUGCCACUUGUCUUUUGUUCAGUGUCCUUUUGUUCCUCUUCUUUCUUCUGAUUCCCUAGUGCUUUCUCUCACAGCAGAUAUCUCUUUUUUCCCCCAAGUGUUGGAUCUCUUUCCUAAGAGGAAAUUUCUGUCAUAGGACUGUUUUCCUUACUCUUGCUGUGCGGUGACAUGCUGCAAUCCCAUGUCAUGAUGCAUAGGAAGACUUUCCGGACACAAGUUAGGACAGGGCAACAGCACAAAACUCUACCCGCAAUAUUUACUUGCUACAGAAAAAAAGGUCAAGGACACCAGAGAUUAAAGCACUGAUAAAGACAUGUGCCUCUGGGAAAUGACAGGGUCUUGGCAGGCUGGACAUAACAAUACACACUUUGCUUCUAAAGUUCCCCUGGUUACAAUUUACACUUCAUGCACUACACCCGAGUAAGGAGAUUUCACAGCCCUAAGAGAAUUCUGCACAGGAAUUCUCUGAUUCCUGACAUGUUUGCUUUUUUGUAUUUUUGUGUUUGCUUUUUAUUUAAUUUAUUUUUUAAAUACAUACAAUGACCAAGAUUGGCAUUAUUUCUACAAUAAUACAAAAACAUUAAUAGGGUUACAAAAUAGUUUUUCCGAUAGGUAUAUCAUCAAUCCUGGACAAAAAAAAUCCUUGAUUUUCCUAAUGUUUGUUAUCCCUCUUUUUAUACAAAUAAAUUAAACACACAAAAAAAAACCACCGGGAACUAAUUCCUUCAACUCCUAAAGAAAAUACACUGCAUUCCAUUGUCCAUUCAAUAAACACCUUUUUUCAAUUCAAUAAAAGUCUGAUCGUGUGGGUUUGACGUAUUCAUUCCAUGUAUUCCAAAUCAGAAAAAAAACUUCUAUCUACUUACCAUGGACUUUCAUGAUAUACCUGUGUUUCCUAUACAAGCUUUAGCUUUGAAGAAUGAGAAACAGAAAGCAAAUAAGUAAGCUAAUGUACAAACCCAGAGAAUGUGGACAGGACAAAAGAAAAAGGAAGGAAGGAACUGUCACAGUCAUGGAGAAAAAGCUAAUGCUAAUCUCUACAAUCCUCCAUCGCCCUCUGCUAUUUCAAAAAGUCUUAAAAUAAGACAUUUGUCUUCCUCUCCAGACUAACCGUCUGUGUUAGGAAUUAUUUAUCUUUUUCUUCCCAUACCUUUUAUAGCACCGGCAUCUCGAUCUUAUAGCCAAGUUAUGUAAAACAAGCCUGCAUGAGAUCUGAGGAUACUGUGCAUGGUGCCAGUCCGACAAAAGUAGCCGUGACAGCAUUGAAUCCUUUGCCUCUUAUGGAAAUAUGAAGCCACAUGAUCUUGACAAAGCCUGAAGAGAGAGGUGGCAACUUGAAGUGGUGAUUUAGAGGUCUAUUGCUUUCCGGCCUAUGACUACCUCACAGCCCAUUUAUCUUCUGCUGUUUAACGGUUAACAUUCCUGAAAGGCUUUUGGAUUGUAAACCAACUCUGCCAUGCAAACCUCAACGUGUCAGACUGUUCCCCUGCAGCCCUUACUGCUGACAGUUGUAGUAGUUGAUUUAGAUGGUCAUAAAAUUAAACUGCUGUUUAAUGCUGGUUUACAGUGUAUCCGUCCUAAUAGGCCUGGGAUCAACUUCACCCCAAAUUAUAGUUUAACAUCACUUAAAUGUAAUUAGAAUUGUCAUCCAGAGGCCUUUUUACAUUCCCUAAUUUGCCUCUUAUUUUAAAGCAUUUCAUUUUCCAGAGCUGCUUUUUAGAUACAAUUGUAGGGUAUGAUUAAUUGAAUUCUGUAGGUACAUGAAGGCUUCUGUUGGUACAUGAAUCUACAGUGAUUAUAUAAUCCUAUAGACUAUGGGGCGUCUUUGAAAAGUUUCUCCAACAUACAACUGCAACUGAAAAUAAAAACAACCUUUUUAUUAGCUCACCUUGGAGAAGGACGUAGUAAAAAGUCUGCAAGUGUGAUUUUCAUGUUCAAUCUUACAAAGCAAGACAAAGACUUACGAUAGACAAGUAUGCCAUUCGUUCAGUAAACUAUUUCCUUUUCGGUUCUUCACUCACCACUCUUGUGCUUCUGUGCUUAAGCAUCUUACUUUAGCUUCACUGUAAAGAUCAUCAUUCUGACAUUUUCCUGUACUUUAGAAAACAGUCAUGUAUCACGUUAUCCCCCCCCCCCCCCCCCCCCCCAAAAGGUCUCCUUCUUAAUUAAGAGAAAUAUCCAGUUGUCCCUUAUAACAUACCCAUUUCCAAAAUGCUUGUGCUCUGAUUAAAUUGUCAGGGUUAAAUUUAAUAUAACUUUAAACAAACGAAUUAAUCUUCACCGCUGUGGAAAUGGAUGUGGAUUCUAAAUAACCUUUCAUUGGUAGGUUUAUACACUUUUACAGUGGAAGAGUGUAAGGUUUGACAUAUUGUCUGUAGACCAUUCCAUUGUUCAAGUUUUUUUUUACAUACUUUUCAGGUGUUGCUAAGUGUUCCACGAACAGCUUUAAAUAGACACCACAUCACUUUUGUGAAAAGACUGAUUUGCUGGUAUGUUUCUAGUUGAAGCUACAAGGAAGUUGGCAAAGGCAAACUGAAGGGCUGGACCUUAACUGCAGUCAUACAAUAAAAUGACGUCAAUGCACGAGGCAGAGCAUCGUGUCUUUAGUAAGACAUUCUUCUUUGAACAUAUGAAGAAUUAAUUAAACUGACAUCAGUGCAAUGCUAUUAACUGAAUGAUGCAAAGUGGAAUUCACAACAUAUAGGAAUGAUUUAAAACCCUAAACCAAAUGACAAUUUAAUAAGCUAUUUCCUGGGAGGUGGUUAUACACCACUUGCCAUGCUUCUGUGCCAUGCAAGUUUACAUUGCUUAAAAUACUGCUGUACUUCAGUCAUGCGUCACUUCUCAUGUGCGUAGUCAGUGGCAUGUCUCAAACAAUAUCCCUCUCUAAAUAAAGCACACGAAUAUGUCAAAAUCCCCUCAUAACAUUCUCUCAGCCAUUGUAUUUCUAUAUGACCCACCUAUUCACUAAAUAUAAAUCCUAACUAACUUUCUGAUUAUACUGCCUAUUAGAAUUUAUUAGCAGAAGCAGUACUGUAAUAAAAUAAAAUAAUUAAUUGUCACCUAGAAGUGUUUGUUUAAAAUAAAAAAAAUGCCUUGGUGUCUGCUGAUAAUUUUUUCAGGUCAAAAGGCAGGUGAGAAUAAUAGAAUGAAUGUUUAAUGGGUUUUCAGUGGAAAUCAGACUACAGAUUAAGAGCAUUGCUAGCCACAGCAGUGCUGACCUGAAGACUGUUGCUUUUAGACCAGGGUUCAUCUAUUACAAUCUUGGAAGACAUUUGCAUUGUUUAGUAUUUCAUCAUCUUUUUUUUAAGAACUAGAGCACUGGCGUGUGAACACUGACUAUGAAUGUUAAAAAAAAAAAAAAGUCCACCCUUGUACAUAGUAGUUGUUGCCAGAGCACGUUGCUUUUCUAAUCAUUUAGAAUAUAGUAACAAGGAAGUUGGCAACAAUAACUUAAAGGGUUGGACCUUACCUCCAGUGUUACAAUGAUACGUCAAUGCACGUAGGUAGAGCAGUGGUUGGGAUCUUUUACCAAACAUUUGGAUUUCAAGCUCUGAAGAAUUCACUUAAAUGAAGGAAGAAAAUGAAGGACGCAGGCUGCAGGUCGACAGGAGUGAUAAAUAAUCACAAAGAUUUUAUUGCAAAAUCAUUGGAGAGUUUUGUUGGCCAUGAGCACCAAACUCAUCUAAAGAACCAAAUACCUCGACCACAUAACCAUGUUCAUAGAGUGCGCUCGAAAGAUGUGGAUGAAGUUUUUGGAAAAACAAACCCCUGACCUAAACAAGAAUGCUGUAUGACUGGAAUUCCUGAAACUCUGCAAUAGCGGUGUGCUUCACUGGCACAGUGACUUAAGCUUCUAGAAGAAACAGGCCAAAAAUGUCUUAAAUAUGUAAUGAAAUUAUAUAUAUACACAUCAUAAUGGGAGGAUACAGCUUUAUGGACAACUCAAAACAAUUGAUGUGUAGGCCACACUGGAUUUUACCUCCAUGGAACACUUAACAGCUUAUACACAUCGAGCAAACCAAGGAUUGUUGAUGCCUUUAGGGAACCUUUGGAAUGAUAUCAUGUUCCAGUUAAACUUUAAGGGACCUUUUGACAGAAAACAUCAACUGGGUGAAGUGGUACAAAACGAGGAGACUUAAUCACAGCACUUUUCGUUUUGCUGUAAACCUGCUGUAAAAUGUCUCCUGAGGAAGAAGAGCCAAUAACUUGUUGACUCUAAAUGAAAAAUAUGUAUCCAUGCACACCAUGUCAUUAGAACGGUUCUCAGUCACUGAUGAGAAACUUGUGUCAUGCAAUCACAAAUGCCUCCAAGUAACUAUAUACGUUAUAUGAGUGAGUAGCCAAAUAUAAUGAAUUACUGAGUGAUGCUUUUACAUUUAACAGGAUAAUAUAACCAAACAUGCGUUUUAGCAGUUUCUUAAACUAUGCCUUUGGCAUAAUAACCAGCACCGAUCUUUGGACAAUGUACUUUGGACAAGCCACGCAACUCUUAAAGGAUAACAUGACACGGCCUACAUCUGAGCAGUGCUGAGACAACGCCAAGUACCAUUGUGUACGUUUUAUGUACAGUGCUUAUUUUUAAUUCUAUUCAUGAAUUUUCUUUAUUAAUAUUUACAUUAGAAUUUAUUGUUAAUAUUAUAUAGAUUUUGGUUUUAAUCCCUUGGGAUUCUGUUGUUUCUACUGGACAAAUUGCAUUUUAGCAUUAAAUAUAUAUAAUAUAUUAGCAUACAGUAUAUGUAUGUGUCUUUAUACAUGCCUGUAAUUCAAUUAAUGUGAAGAAUAUGAGACAAAAUGAUUGUGCAGGGGACUAGUGGAAAUUAAAAAAAUAAAAUAAAAUCAUAUAAUAAAAAAAAUAUUGUUGCAUUGUAACUGAUCCCAUUGACUCCCUUUUUCAUACUUGCAUUAUUCCUUUUCCUGUGAUCCAUGCAAAUUCUUGCAUAUGUCUAAUUCUCUCUUUUGAUUUAUCUUGCAUUUAUGAAGUAUCCUGUUUCAUAGUGUGCCUAAUUUGUGCUAGCAUGCUUACAUAGCGUAUUUCUAAUUUUCUCCGCUUUUCAUCUCUGCUUGCCUGCUCAUGGAUAUAGUUGAAGAUUCGCCUGUGCUAACCCUGACUAACUGUUCUCUGACCCCUGACCACCAUCAAGAAGGAACAGCUAUAGAAGUUGCUCUAGGCUGGGAGGGGUUCCAGGCUCUGGAUGUAAUGCAAGGUGGGCUUGAAUAUGACCAUCAUUUUUAGAGAAAUCUGGAAAAAAUAAAAUAUAUUAAAAUUGGAGUGGGGGACAGUGGCUUAGUGGUUAGCAUGUUUUCCUCACACCACCAGGGUUGGGGAUUCACUUCCCACCUCUGCCCUGUGUGUGUGCGGAGCCUGCAUGCUCUCCCUGUGCCUCGGGGGCUUCCUCCGGGUACUCCAGUUUCCUCCCCCAGCCCAAAGACAUGCAUUGUAGGCUGACUGGCAUAUUAAAAUUGUCCGUAGUGUGUGAAUGGGUUUGUGAGUGUGCGUGUGAUUGUGCCCUGUGAUGGAUUGCUACCCCGUCCUGGGUGUCCCUACACCUUGUGCCCUGGGAUAGGCUCUAGGUUCCCCGUGACCCUGUGUAGGAUAAGUGGUACAGAAAAUGGAUGGAUGGAGAUAUACUGUAUACAUAUGAUUUCCAACUCAGUUAUUACCUGAAGAUAUUUUUAUAAUUAUUUUUUAUAAUUCUAAGCUAUAUUUAUUAAAAUGGACACAUAAGAGCCCUUUGGAAAAAAAAAAGUUAAUUAGAGAAAUUCCAGAUGCUGGGGGAAAAAACACGUGAUAUUGCACCACUUUUAGUAAAAAAUGAAAAUAAAUCAUUUUGGCCUGAAUAGAACAUAAAGGGUAAGCAAAUAAGCCCAGAGGGGUAAGGGGAACAAUGAUUAUCAAAAUAAUAGCACUUAACUGUCAAUAGGCCUCUUGUCAGCCUUACAUGUUAAUCACACCAUCAUAAACGUGUCAACAUCAUGUCAUAUCAAAUUAAAUCUUACUAAGUACCUCCCAGUCCAUUUUUCGUAAAAAGAAAAUCAUGUCCUGUCAUCAUACGUUACCCUGCACAGAGAUGAUCAUAGCAUUUGUUUUUAAUGCUACAUUGCACAGCACUUUUCAGACCUCUCCUAAACUCCUAGACUGUUGAGUGACCUAUGUCCACAUUCAUUAGAGCAGCCAUAUAAUAUAAGAAGUGAACUUGACUAAAAGACCUCCACAUGGAGUAAAGUAUGAAAUACAAGGCUCCGGGAUGACCUUUAAUCGUUCUCAAGGGACGAAUAAGUGCAAAUAAGAGCAUAAUUCCUGUCAAGUCCCCACUUGUGUGAACUCUCACAGUCCAAACUCGAUCCUUCGUUCCCAGGCGACAAACCGAGUCAUGGUGUGCUAAAGGUGUUGAGUGGCUGUAACUAUCCAAAUAGGCUGGAACAAUCCGGUUUGGCUGCAAUGAAAUCUGGAGCUCCUGAUAAAAUUACAUAUAUGGACACAUAGUAUCAUUAAAAAGAGUGAGUUCACUUUAUCAUAUUCACAGACAGGCGCAUUGCCCCAGUAGAGCAGGAGAAGAGGUGUCGAGUCAUGUGUGAGUUCUGGAUCCAUAUAAAUGCCAAAAGUUGCUUUUUGUCAUUUAAGCACUGAAACAGCACAUGAAAACAUAAAAAAGUAACCAAUGGCUUUUCUUCAGUGAACAGGAAAUGAUGGCAUUUUGAUAUAGUCAGGAUGGAUAUUAUUAGCAUGACAGUGACAUAUUACAUGCUAUAAUAGACACGGUAUUCUUAUGACAUGCCCAGUUUUACCCACUAAGUCCCUCCAUUGUUUCAUGUACACACUGUCUGUACAACAGUCUUUGCAAAAGAUGGUCUGCAUUUGCAUCUGAAUUAACCUGAAUAGCAAUGGUUAAAAAAAAACAAAACAAAACAAAACCACAGAUGUUUCACAUGUGGCAAGAGGGGUUUAAUUUGCUCUGGCUUAGAGAUCUGUUUAUACUUUACAUAAAAUACAAAGACUCCCAUUUGUACACACAGAUUGUUGUACACACAGUGAAACAUUUGAACAUGCAAACAUUUGAACAAGUAAAACAACUACCUCUCCAAGCCAUAGCACGCUGAGGGAUGUGCUCUCGCUACCCAGGAAGAAUGGGAGGAUGCACUGUGCUGACGUAGUUCUGGCUUUGAUUAUCUGCUUGAUUUAAAUUCUUGAUCACACCCACUUAAGGCAAAAAUAAAAGAAAACAUUUGUUUUCCUGACGGUAGCUAUGACACAUGACAGAUAGUUUACUGUAUGUUGCAUUAGUGUUUAGAAUUUAAAGCAUUUAUAUUGGCAAUUUGUACAUGUAAAUCUCUAAGAGAGAGGAGAGUGUGACAAAUUAUGCAGCAAUAUACAACCCCAAAUUCCGAAAAAGUUGGGACAGUAUGGAAAAUGCAAAAAAAAAAAAAAAAAACAGUCAUUUGAGAAUUCAAUUCACCCUGUACGAUAUUUAAAACACAUUAUUAACACAUUAUUUGAUGUUUCACUUAUACAAAAUAUAUAAAAUAUACACUAAUUUCAAAUCUGAUGACUGCAACACACGCCAUAAAAGUUGGGACAGUCGACUGUUUACCGCUGUGUAACAUCACCUUUUGUAUUAAUAACACUUAUUAAGUGUUUGGGCGCUGAGUGAAUACACCAGUUGGUUAAGUUUAGCAAACGGAAUUUCCCCCCAUUCAUCUGUUUUUCAUUUCUUCAGCUAAGCAACUGUACAGGGCCUUUGUUGCUUUAUUUUGUGCUUCAUAAUUUUCAAUCGGAAACCGGUCAGGACUGCAGGCCGGACAUGCUAGAACCCGCACUCUCUGCUUACGCAACCAUGCACUUGUAAUCCGGGCAGAAUGUGGUUUGUCGUUGUCCUGCUCUGGAUGGGAGCAUAUGUUGCUCCAAAAUGUGUACAUAUCUUUCUGCAUUAAUGUUGCCGUCACAGAUGUGUAAGUUACCCAUGCCAUGGGCACUGACACACCGGCUUUUGGACCUGAUGCUGAUAAUCCACCGGCAAAUAAUCUGAUGUGAAUGGCAAAAACAAAACCUUAUAUCAGUCCCUCCAGGAUUUUACGAUCACAGAAAUUAACAGAAAAACAAGCUGUCUCUGCAAUAUUCGGAGGAGCAUGCAAUUUUUCAGAAUUACUGCAGAUUUUCAGCAGAUUUUGGCCAAGAUGUGUCAUGUGUGUCAUGUGACGUCAUGCAUUCAACCAAAGCCCUCUUCAAUUCAUGUGUGUCAAACAUGAGUACAGCUGAAAGGUCUCAUUUACCAACAAACAUCACCGUGAAAGACCAUGCAAAACAAUUUCACGCAAUUGCAAUUUCACCAAUUCAAGUAAAAAAUCUGCAAAUUGCAUCACAAAGAUUUUGAAAAAAGCUACAGAAAAUCAAGCAUUUUUGCCCACAAAAAUUCUGUGAAAUCCUGUACGGACUGUUAUAUGUGCGAAUGACAGGGGAGCUUAGCCCUGCUAGCCCAUUUAUACCAGCUGCCCCUGUACAUUUGAGAUUUCCCAAACUAUUUUUACAAACUAUAUUUACAUGGACAGAGCACAUUCUCUCUGAGAGCAGAAACACCCUGGCAUGCUAAUUUCACAUAAAACCACAGACACGCUCAUUUGAUUUUGCCUGGGCAUGACAACCAACAUGACAAAUAUGCCCUUAGGCAGUUAUUAUUGGGAACAAAUGCCAGAAAAGCAGUGCCAAAUGCAUAGCAUGGCAGAGGAAAAGAGUGGGUGAAGUAUUGCAAGGCAGACAAGUUUCAAGUGCCAGCUGCCUGACAGCGUACCUUUAGAGUCGGUCAUCAAAAUCCAUAUUAACUAGAACUACUAAUUAACACAGGUGAAAGCAGCUGUCAGUGUUAAACAUGUUAAAAGUAUCUCAGAUCAGUCCACUAUAAAUUACAUAUAUGCCUGAAUAUAAUGUGUUUGCACCAUCUCAAGCUCAAUUGGCUGCACAUUUCAUAAUUAUAUAGUUGUCACAAAUGAGCCUCCAUGCCCAUCUCUUGCAGAGCCAGUAUGGUAUGCUGUGGUUUUUAAAAGUGCUCUGCAUUCAGGCCUUUUAAUUACAGUAGAGUGGGUGUACAUGGUUUUGAUUCAGCCCUAGCUCUCUGUCAUCUAUCAUACUUCAUCAUGAAUGCAUUAAAGAAGAUUAUGAUGGGAAAGUCAUUUAUAUAGUACGUUUAGGGUGCCAUAUUUGGUCUGGCUAUGUUGAGUGAUGGUGAAAUGUAUAUAGUAUGCUACACUGAGCUUUUUUCUAGCACUGAGCUUUUUUGUUAAUGCUUCAAUCUGAAAUUGAUUUUUGGAUUUCUCUGAACAAAAUCCAUUGCUUCACUGGUAUAGUUGUUUGCGACAAUUGUAUUUAAAGAAGGUGAUUAAGAUUUGUUGAAAUUGUGCCAUGUUUUCACUAGAACUAUGUGGUAAAUGUUUAUAUACAAUUUUGUAGCUGCUUUCUCAUGAAGUUGGCCUGCCACUUGUAUUUGAUUUGUUUUUUGGAUGUCUUUACAAAGUUAGUGUUUGACACUCGUCUUGUGCUGUUGAGCAUAACUGCUGUGAGAAGAAGAAAGAAAUCCAGAUGCUGAAAACUAAUAUACUAGGUGAGCAUUAUUCAAUGCCAAGUUUGAUAUAUUUUUUUUAACAUAUAUUUCCAUGUCUCUUUUUAUAAAUCUUUACACAUUUCUCUCUUUAUACCCUCGGUUUCAUGAGCUAGUAGUACAAGUGCUAAAAGACCUCCCAGAAGCCACUGUUUUCUUUGACACAGACACGAAUCCAAUCUGGCAGCCAAGCCCUUAACUGAAGUCACACAUCUCAACAAGCAAAACCAUGCAGGCCUUAAGUGGCUGAUACAGGAGUGAAUGAAAUCUUAUAAGUAGUCAUAAAAGUGAAGAAAGAGGAGAAUUUAAUGGGGAAUAUUCCAUUAUGAUGCCAACACUUUUUAAAGGUUAAUCUUAGACAUAUUAUUUAAGGUUAAUCUUAGGUCAUAUUGAGGGGGCUUGGGUUAUUGCCUAAACUGACCGAACAUCUAAAGUGUCAUUUUUAUUUUACAAGCAAGAAAGCUGAUUCUGUUGUAUGAAAGCAGCAGCUGUUGCUUGGGGAUUGAAGUACAUUUUAAUUUUUCACUUAUCUACCCAUGUGGGCUUCAGAUUUCUGCAGUAGUCUCUAUAGCUGCCACACUAUUUGUGCAAUGAGGCUAAAUUAGCAACGUUUAUCAGGGAGUAGCAAGCCAGCCAGCACAAAUAUGUAGUUUCUCUGUGUAUGCUCUAACCUAUUGGUUUUGAUAGUGUUUCUCAGAAACACUACAGAAAAAAGAAAGAAAAAAAAAACUUUUUUAAGGCUAUGCUUCAUGGUCCAUUUGCAUCUUCAAAACAGCACUGUGACCAUUUUUGUACCCCAUUUUUAAAGAUAUCAUAGAUGAACACUGGGUGCAUCUUCUGUAAAUACAUGAUAUAUGGUAAUGUGUGUCCCACAAUGACUUCCGUAAUUACUAAUACUGGCAUUAUUCAUGAAUUGAGACCUGUUUAAUUCAUAACAUUGGCACACUCUUAUCCCAUAAAUAAGGCUGCCGUGUCUGAAGUCUGACUACGUAAUGACAUAUAGCACAGGCAGUGUGGGUGGUUCUGGAUUACAGAUUUCUUAAAAUGUCCAAGUCCCAAAGGUGGUCUGAAUUAUUGCUCUGUUUUGUAUGAGCCAUAUUCAUAAAUAGAGUACUUUAGCACAGCAUAUUAUAAAAUAGAAAUACAUUUUGUUACUGUGUAACAACCUUUCGCUGACUAGAAGGGAGAUUAUAAUAAUGCUAACAUAUGUGCUUCCCAGUGGAGUGCGGCCACCCUGCAGUCUAUGCCUCCACUAGAGGACCCUUAUGAGAGCAUGAUGUAUGAAAUCCUGAGAUAAGUUUUGUACAGAAUUUGGAAGUGGCUAUAUGCAAAACUGUCAAUAUUGUAGUGGUGCUUUACUAGGAAUGGUUUUCCCAGCACCUUUGCCAGAGAGAUUUACUGAAUGUUUAGAAACUGCUGAACUAUAGCGUCAAAUCCCUGAGAGUUACACGUUGAUAUAUGAACUUGUGAGAGACAAUGUUUCAGACAAGUGAUUAUUAGGCUAAAUUGUAGGGUGAGUUUGAAGGAGCUGCUUACUUCUAAUAUGUGUUAAGUCUGGCAUAUGUGCAUCCAGUUAUGUGUUUGUAAAGCACAUGUACACAAUAUGGCCGAAAGUUUGUGGACACUUGACCAUUAAACCCAUAUGUGCUUUCUGAACAUCCCAUUCCAGAUUUAGUUUCUCUUUGUUGUUAUAAUAACCCCCACUCCUCUGGGAAGGCUUGAACAGGUUUGGGCCAGGCCCCUUGGUUCCACUUAAGGGAGCUUGCAAUGCUAUGGCAUACAAAGAGAGCCUAUACAAUCAUAGUGUGUGCUUCGAACUUUGUUGGAAGACCCACAUAUGGCUGUGAUGGUCAGGAGUCCACAUCAUUUGGUCAUACUGUGUAUAUUGUAAACAUGAAUGUACAUGUUUAACAUUCGCUCAUGAUAUUUUCCAAAAUGACUUAAAUGAAUAAUCCAAUUGAACAGUUAAGGUCUUACUAAAGGACCCAACUGUGGCAGCUUAGUGGUUUGGUAUUUCAACUCACAACCUUCCAAUCAGUAGUCCAAACUUUUAACCACUGAGCCAAAACUUCUGCAGAACCAACAAUCAAGAGGAUCUGGCCAUCUCACUCUACUAAAAGCACUCAGCUUGUUCAGUCCCUUGUAAUCUCGAGAAUGGAGUACUGCAAUUUGCUUCUGACAACUCUUCUUGAGCAUGCCAUCAAACCACUGGAAUGUAUUCAAAAUGCAGAUGUGCAGCUUGUUUUCAAUCUACCAAAGUAGUCCCACAUCAUCCCAAUGCUGUGUUCCCUCCACUGGCUUCCUGUACCUGCCCACAUCAGAUUUAAAACACUGAUGAUUGCCUACAAAGGCAAAAACAAAAAAUGUUUUCUUUGAGUCACAAUCAUGGCUGGACUUAAUUCACAAAGCUCAAGACACAAGGAAGUCAUGCAUCAAAAGUUUUCUCUUUACUGCCACCAAGAUAGUGGAAUAAACAUAUCCUGGAUGCCCGUAUGUCUUCAUAUAGAGGGAGAAAACCGACUUCUUUGUCAGUCCAUUGACAAGCUCAUUCCUGUCAUACCCAGACUCCCUUUUAUGUGACACCCAUAUUCAUUGGCUGCCCCACAGGUUUGCGGUAUGCUACUGAUGCUUCUCUCAAUAUUAUGUCUAUUAGUUAUGGGCUGUCCAGUCUCAUGUAAUUCAACAAUGUGUUUGGUUAAAAAAAAACACUGAUUAUAAAGGGACAUAAGUGCACAGUAGGAUGGACAAAAACCAUCAUCCAUCAUAGACACCCCAGCUAAGUCUUUUAAUGUUUCUGCCAACAUCACUGAUGCAGUACUAGUUCUUUGAGCUGGUUGAUGUUCAACAAAAGCAAAAUGUUCCCCAUUUAUUACUCUCAGCAACAAUGUAGAUCAUUGUGCAUGCAAAAGGCAAAUCGCCCUUAUCAAUGUAUCUUCAAGUCUAUCCUAAUAUGCUUCCAAAUAUACUGAUAUAUCAAAGGUAAUGCAUAUCCACAUUUUAGAAAUAAUAAUACAAUAUCUGGCACACCAAAUGGACUGCAUUCUGGCCAGCCUUAAGAGACAGCUCCCUAGCACGAUUUAAAUUCUUUAAUGCAGCAGAAGAGAUUUAUUGGGCACCAUAUGUGUGGUUUAUGUGUGGUAGGCUCUAUAAUGUGAUGUAGGUCACUGCCUCUCGCUUCCAAUGCUCUGACUCGUAUAUUCAGAAACACUCUCCCAGUAGCUGUUUGCUCAGUAGAUUUUCAGCGCUACUGCCUUUCCCAAAUACUGGGGUGCUGAUAGAUGGGCCCUGUUUGUUUUCACUGUUACCAAGAUCGCUGAAAUAGUCAAUUUUCCUGACUAUCUUAAUCUCUAAAAUGGAAACAUCAAAUGUUGCCCAUUGUCCUAUGGGAUUAAAGUACAUUAUGUGAGUAAACAACUUGUUUUUUUUCUACUUAUUUAUUGUCCUUGUACAAUGUUUGAACACUACAUCAAUAUUCAAACAUUUCUACUGUUUCCUCAUAGUAUAGCAUGCAGUCAGCAUUGUGAGCCAUUUCAAAAUUAUACAGUAUAUAGUAUUUCAAGUAUUCAGUACUUCAAGUUUAUGCAGGUUUACUGCAGUAUAUUUAGAGUAGUAGCACAAGUUUACCAGUAUACAAAUCACAAUUUAGUCUGAAAAAGUAUAAAAGUAGUACAUGGAUAGCAAAUUAAGGCUGUAAACUUUAAGUAUUCUUUCAGAACACUGUGAUCUAUACUUUAUAUACUUACAGUACUGUAAAAUCUAUUAUAUUUUAGUAAGGAAAUGGAUCUGUGCAUGCUUAAAUUGAUGUUGGUCUGCGAAUGGAUAAUGAUCUUGUGCACAUAAGAAUAUGUUUACAGUAACUGAUAUUUGUGACUUUAAAUUUGGGACUGUACAAUACAGUAACACAUAGGUAGAGAAAGAGAAAGGUCACAGGGGAGCAGAUAUGCAGCAGGAAACAUACCCAAAAUAACCAUUAACAUGUCAGCUGUGGUCUAAAGCCUGUGAAAUUUCCAUAGCUUUUCAAGCUGCCAUAAAAUGAAAGCACAGGCCCUCAUUUUUAAUUUUCUGCUUACAUCUUUAUAUAUUUGGCUGAAUCAGCUCAGCAGUAGAACUCAAAAUAUCUGCACAAUCAUCACAUAAUCUUCAAUGACCACAAAGCUGGCAGAAAAUCAAGUACAGUACCUCAGUGUGUAUCUCUCUAUUGCUAAAUAUGGCAUCAUAAAUGAUAACAUUUUGCAUACUGUCAAUGUACUUCCUCCAAAAAAACAUACAUUGAUGAAAACACAGAGUCAAAGCUGCUACUGAAACAGCCACGCUUGUGUGUAUGGUGGCCAUGAUAAACACAGAGGGCACUUGUUUGCUCGCAGUCUAUGUUGACUAACGGAAGAUGGACUGCCGAUUUGUCAGAAAGUUGACUUUCGUGACUGUAGGGGCAAAAUGUCUCUGCUCAGAUUCCUGGACUUUUCAGGAAAAAAAAAAGUGUGGAAAAAAGCAAGAAUACCUCAAUAGAAGCUCUGUAUGUAUUCUAUGCUGGGUGGCCAAGCUAUAGAUAAAGACGUUGACAUCUAAAGCUAAGUUUGGGAACCUUAAAAGCAAACAGCUUAAUUUAGAUGUCCGGAGUAUGUGUACUGACAGUACGGAGAGUAUUGAGUGUGCUUGGUGAUUUUGUUCUGUUUGCACAGCUGAAUGAAAACUCUGAGUCACAUAUAAGGUAUGGGGGAUAAUGUAUAGGUUAGUGACAUACGAUAACAUACGAUUUAAAACACUAUGAUAAAAACAAAAACAAAACAAAAAAACAUCCAAAACUCCAAUGGCUGGUUUGCUAAUAAAGGUCAUGGCACAUGACUUCAGGGUCAGAAAAAAGGGUUCUGGUGUGUUAAAGUGGUUCAGAAGGUCAAAUGACAGUGUCUGCCUUCUCUGUAGUGCAUUCUCCAGAUGUGCUUCUUGGGAAGAACAUAUAGGACUGUAUCAAUUGCCAUUUACAGCUGCUUUGGCUGACCUUAUGGACAGCAGGCAUCUGGGACAAGAGGUAAAUAAAACCAGUUGUGGGUGAGAUUUUUAGGAUGCCUGGAAAGGACAGCAUAACUGAUGGGAUCUUAAACAGGUGUUUGCUAUAGCAAUUCAUACUGUACCCUGCAUAAGCGCCUGAUGCCAGUCAUGCUUGAGUUUCUUGGCUCAAGGAGUGUUACAGUACUUAGCCUUUUACAGGGGCCUUAUUUGCCUUGGAAAAACACCAUGCCACUUGCCUUAGCAUUUAAACCACAAGUGGUGUCCCACAGACAAAAGGGUUUUUGACUGAAUCCUGUGGACAUGAACUGCCUUCAUGUGCAAGUUCUUUCCCAGUUUCCCAGUUAAACUAGCAAAUGAACCUGUGUAACCAGCAGCUACAUCAAGCUGCAAACUCAAAAAAAAAAAAAAAAGAAAAAAAAAAGCUGGCCACAGUUAAAAUAUGCACAAACAAGAUAAAAUAUAUUUUUGGUAUCACUUAAGUGAAAACAUUUUUCCUGAGGUGUAAAUGUUCCCAUGACUCAUAGAUCAAGCUGUAUUUCUCAGUAUAGCGUUUACAUAAGUCAUAGUGCCACAUCCACAUCUGCAAGUCCCAACCCUAAGAACUCCAAUUCCCAUGAUUCCCAGUCCACAACCAUGCCACAUGAUCCUCAUCAAAACAUCUAUCCCUGUUCUCCUUCACUGAAUUAUUGAUUUAAUCCACCUGUCUGAAAUCACUGACACUCCCAUAAACAACCUGGGUUCACUCGAAUACUUUGCAAAGUCUCACUCCAGCAUUGUGCCUGUGACGUUACUAAGCCUUUUGUUUGCUGCCAGUUUUGCAUCGUUUUGAUUUCAUUCUCCAAAUUGUUCUGCCUAGUUCAUGCCUAUCUGCUAAUCAGCUAACCCUGUUUUUCGUUUUGAGCAUUGCCUACCUCUUCUGGUUUGUUUGCUUAAGUGUUCAUAAUUUGCACUUGUGUGACUAUUAGGAAAACUAUCCAAAUGCAUUCCACUAGUGAAACUGUGGUCUUUUAUAACCUGUGGCAAUGGCAAAAGAUCAGAGAAGGAUCAAUUUACAUGCACACCUUGAUUUCUUCUAUUUUUGUGUAUAUCUCAUACUAAAUAGUUUUAGAUCUUCAAAUGAAAUACAAUAUAAAACAAAGGCAACCUGAGUAAACACAAAAUAGUUUUUAUUUAUUUUUAUUUUUUAUUGAAGCAAAAAAAGGUUAUCCAACACCUAUCACCCAUGUGAAAAACUAAUUGCCCCCUUAAACUUAAAAUCUGUUUGUGCCAACUUUAGCAGUAAUAACUGCAAUCAAACGUUUCCGAUAACUGGAGAUCAGUCUUUCACUUACUUCUAGGACUACGUAGGACUUAGUCCUAUGCUUUGGAUCAUUGUCUUGUGCAUAAUCCAGCUGCGCUUGAGUUUCAAUUUACAGACUGAAGACUGGACAUUCUCCUUUAGGAUUUUCUGUUAGAGAGCAGAAUUCAUGUUUCCCUCAAUUAUUGCAAGUUGCUCAGGCCCUGAAGCAGCAAAGCAUCCCCACACCAUCACAUUUCCAUCACCAUGCUUGACCGUAGGUAUGAUGAUCUUUUUGUGGAAUUCUUUGUUUCACUUCCACUUUCGACUCAUCAAUCUACAGAACAUUCUCCCAAAAGUUUUGAGGAUCAUCAAAGUGUGUUUUGGCAAAAUUCAGAAAAGCCUUAAUGUUCUUCUGGGUUAGCAGUGGUUUUUACCUCGCCACUCUUCCAUGGAUGCCAUUUUUGCCCAGGGUCUUUCUGAUAGUGGCUCUCACUGUGGUUUUUUGGAGUCCCAGAGCCUUUUAAACAGCUUUGUAACCCUUUCAAGAGUUAUGUAUUUCAGUCACCUUCUUCCUCAUCAUAUCUGGAAUUUCUUUUAAUUUUGGCAUAGUGUAUUACUGGAUAAGACUUUUUAACCAACUUCAUGCCGUUGAAAAAGUUCCAUUUAAGUGUUGAUUUGAUUGAACAGGGUUUGCAGUAAUGCGGGACUGCACCUUCUUAGGCAUCAAUCACAGGGGAUUUACAAAUCUCAGUAAGAGUACAGUGUUUCGGAUGCGCUUGAAAUGGAAUAUCCCUGCCUGUCCAUCAGCAAGACAUAAAUGCAUAGUUUCCUGGGGGACAUUCAUGUUAAAUGAGGGUUCUCCUAUGCUUCUAUUAUCCUCUCCAUGAUAUCACAUGGAUAGCAAUUUCCUCUUGGCUUGUUGCUGAUCAAAUCUUUGAAAUGGAUGGUGAUAUUGAGUGGCUCUCACCCUAGGUCAGUGUUAGAUCUGAUUUCAGUUCAAGCUGCAUUAAAACUCUUAUCACUGUAAUGAAAUACAAUUACAUCAGAUAAAUCUUACACUAUGUUGUUAAGUAAAAAAAAUCCCUUGCAUGCAGUGGCUUGUAGAGUUCUGUGUUUUUCACUGGCAUGAUUCACAUUCUGCGCAAACAUACUAAAUUCAGUGGCAAUUCUAACAUCAAAUUUCUUGGGUAGAGUAGUAAUGACAAUGCACUGGACUGUUCACUUAUCAAGGUAUAUAUGUUGCUGCAUGGCUAUAACUGCGAUCAUAACUAAGUAUAAUUUGAUGUAUUAGUUUAAUUUGAUGAAGGAUUCCAGUGGCUUAAUGCAUACCAUUUCACAGCUAUAAUUCUGGGCUUCUGUGGAGUCUGACAAAUGAAAGUCUUCUUACUGCUGUGUUCUGUUACAGAGGGAAAACAAGUGACAACCUAGGCACAAUAGUACAGGGGUCACAUAGUAGACCUUAAUUAAUAGCUAAUAAAUGUAUAUAGAAGCAGUGACUGUAGUAGGAUUUUCUGGUGCUCCUUAUUGUAAUAUGUUAGGAUUAAAAAAAAAAAAAGAAGAAAUACUCAUAAGAAACUGAACGGUAUCUGAAUAUCAUGUUUACUCACAAAUUACUGGUCAAUACUGCAACCCUUCAUGCAUUUUUAAUUGCAUGUAAUUAAAUUUAACCGUCUUGGCACUAUUUACGUGGAACUUUUUACUUUAAACAACAAUACAGUACUUUGGAGUUUGCACUGCCCUGUGCUGAACACACACAGACCUUUAUGAGGUUUUAUCUCUUCAUAUGCCUUGUAUGUGGAUUAAGAGCACAAUUAGAGUGUUAUAAUCAUGCUGUUAAUCAUUAAUCAGCCUACACAUUUGCCAAAACAGUACUUUUUACAGUACAAUAUGUAGUUUUUACUUGGUCAGUUCUCAUCAGGAUAAUUUUUAUCAUUGUCAUUAAAUAUAUUUCUUAAAUUCCCCCUUCCUAUUGAGUCUUGCUCUAUGCAGCAAUACACUUCAGUACUAACAACAAAAAAAAAAAACUCCAAAACUUUUUGUUCAAUAAAUCACACAUUUGUGAGUCACCUUCAGUAAUGAGGCCUUGCUGGUACAACUCCAUCCCUUUAAACCCAAACCAUCCAAAAAGCCUUCUCUUUCACAUGAUUGUAAAGGGGUAAGCUAUCUCUUAGCCAUCCAGCCUGUAAAAGUAAUGCCUCUAGCAGGUGUACAGGUAGUGACCGUACAGUUAAUCUUUAAAAGUGAGAUGGGCAGGAAAUAGGACGUUCUGGGUCAUUGGGAGGGGAAGAGCCUGGCAGCAGGCAGGUGCUUAAGAAGCAUAGCAUGUAUAAAGGGCCAUAUGGAGUAGGAAGGAUCUUUAUCCAUUUCUCUCAAAAGUUUCAGACCACUUCCAAUACAUGUAUUGCAUGGCUUGUUGGUUAUGAAUCCUUUGUUUCAGCAAUGUUACAUUACGUUAAUUACCUCAGUUUAUUCUGAACUUUAAAAUGUGUCGAUACAUUAAAAAUAUAGUGAUAUUAGUGAGUGCUGAUAUUGUAUAAAAAUAACAGAAAUUACUCUGGUCUAAAUCUUUAGCUGUCCAAAAUUAGAUCCUUUUCAAGCUAUGCAUAAUAAAAAAUAAAAGAGUAAAACACAAAAAAACUGAAUCAACAAUUAGGGCUUUUUAGGAAAAAUGCAUAGGUAAUUAGCUUACUGUGCAUUAUUGUACUUUUCUAAUUUCUAAAGAUGUAGUUAUUUUGAAUAUGGGGUUUGUAUUGCUGUUUAUAGUGCUGGGAGAUAUGACAAAAUAUCAUAUUAUUCUUGAAGACAUUUACAAAAUACACAAUAUAUUGGUUUGGUCACAAUUAUUUUUUAAUUUAAGAAAUAGAAGACACUGAAAAUGAGAAAAAAAGUGAAACUUUAAGCACUUUAUAUUUAAAAAAAAAUUAAGUACAACAUUUUAACAUCAAAUCAACUGCUUCCAGUCAGUACACUAUCAAGGCUAAAAGUUAUAUAGACACAUGACCAAUCAAACCCAUAUGUGCUUGUUGAACAUUGCAUUGAAGAUUUAUUCCCCCUUUGCAGUUAUGAUAACCUCUACUCUUCUGGAAAGGCUUUCCACUAGAUUUUGGAGCAUGGUUGUUGGGAUUGUGCUCAUUCAGCCACAAGAGUAUUAAUGUGGCCAAACAGUGAUGUUGGUGAAGAGGCCUGCCAUUCCAGUUUAUCCUAAAGGUGGUCAGUGGGGCUGAGGUCACGGCUCUGUCCAGGCCACUUAAGUUCUUCCACACCAACCUUGGCAGUCAUGUCUUCAUGAAGUUCUCUUUGUGCACAGAGGCACAAAAAUCUUAUUGCCACAACAUACAAAAAGACAUUCUAGACAAUUGUGUGCUUUCAACUUUGUGGCAAAGGUUUUGGGGAAAAACCACAUAUGGGUGUUGAUGGUCACGUGUCCACAUACUUUUGGUCAUAUAGUGUACCACGAUAUCCACAAUAUCUCAAAGUAUAUUGAGACAUAAUUUAUAAUUUAUAUAUUGAUCCUUGUACCUGAAAGUGUUUAUAUGUAUUUGGGAUUAAUUAAAUUUGAUAUAUUUUAUUCUAUUUGGGAUUCAUGAUUUUAUUUAAUUUUUAAAUUGGCUUCACUAUAUUUUAUUACGGAUCAGAAAUUUGACAGGAGGUAAUCUGAAAGUGAAGGUCAUUCAUUUAAAGUUGCAACUCCUGAGCUACAAUCGCUCAAUGGGAGGACAUGGGUAGAAAUACAUACAAAGCAUGGAAAGAUUUUAAGAGUUUACUUGCAAGUAUAGUUGACGUUACAUAACCCACAUGUGCUAGCAAACUGUACUUCCUGGCUUUUAUAUACUGCAUUACUAGACUAGACUGAAAAAAGAGGUAUAGUAUAAAAAUAAAUCAGGAAGAAACCUGUUUGGGUGAAAUUUUUUUUGGCAGAGUGCCUACACUGGGCCUUAAUGACACAUGAAUUCCCAUAUUCACUGCGUAAAUAUUUUAGAAAACUGUGAAGAGAAUUUAAAAAUGCUUACUCAUAAACUGACCAACCAUAUGAUAGUAUUUACUGUACAUGAAAGAGAGAAGAUGCCAUUAUAAUACAAGCAAAAUUAUGGUAGACUUCAAAGUUGUGUUAACACAUUUUAUUAUUAUAGCAGAAUAUUUAUGAAUCUUUGAGACAUUUUUAUGAAGCAUCCAUCUGCCAUCUUACCCUUUUAAAAGCAUACGGCGGUCAAUUUGCCUUCAAAAUAUUAAACAGCACAAUACAUUCCCAUGAAAUGUAUAGCUUCUAUAAAUCCAAGAAGAUUUUAAGAAGCCCAUAAUCCAGGUGAAAUAAUGAUUUUUAUGUCCUCUUCAUAAUGAUAAUUGAGAAAGAAUCAGGAAUGUAUAAAACAUCUAAGGUCACACCACAUUUUUCAUAAACCUUUCAUAAAUCAUCCUGCAGUGUUUUAUCCACGUUUAUUCAGUGGUUAUAAAUAUGUCAUGAAGGUCCAAUGGCGAUACCCUUCAAAUGAGGUGCUAUCCUUUUUGCUAAGAUAAAAAAAGUAAGGAAUGUAAAAUUCAAGAAUAACAACAGCAAAAGCAGUAUUCAAAUUUUCAAGCAGUCCAAACAUACAUUUUAGCCACUGUUUCAUACCAGCCACCAAGAUUGAGAGGUUUUUUUCUUGCUGAUGUUUUUUUUUUUUUUUUUUUAAACAUGAACUGCCAAAUUUCCACUGCUUUCUUGGAGGAUGGAAAAUUAUUAUGCCCUCUCUGGCUUCAUCCCAAAUCUGUAUAGUCUACAUGCUCACUCAGCAUCACUAUGGAGUGAGGAAGAGAGUUUCCAUUCUUCAGCAGUCAGAGGGUUAGUCCCUAACCCUGUCUUCCACAGAAAUGAGUACCUUUUAGAUGGCAACCCUUCAUGGGAAGACUAUGGCGCUGAAGCAGAUAAAAAAAUAAAAUAAAAAAGUGCAGAGUAAAGAUGAAGUAGGCCAAGGUCAGGAAAAAGGAAUGUCACUGAGGAAGUGAGAAACUAACCAAACCCAGUGACACUGAAUGCUGGAGGGCACUGAAUAUGCUGAAUAUACUUUACUGAAUGUUUUAUCAGUUACUCAUUUGGUAACACACAAUGCUUAACGACAUGCUUAUGCUACUUGCCGUAAAUGUUUAUUGUUGAAGCACAUUUGCUGCAUGCACCUCUGAAUGCUUACUUGCAUACUACAGCAACACAUGGGCAGUUGAGAUUGCAUGCAUUAAUUAGAGUAAACACAUCACAUUUCCUGGGACAAUCCCAUACAGUAUUUCAGCUUCUUCUUUUUGUGUACUCUGACUUAUUCUCAAAAAUUAUUUGUUUGUCCCACAUGUGUGACUGUGAAUGUAUUUCAUUGAAGACAUGGACACAUUCACACAUUGACACCCUUGGAAAAAUUGUUCUCACUUUCUCACUUCUGUUUUCUGGUUAGUUUCAUGACUCAGGUCACAUGACAUUUAUUUAUAUAGCACAUUUAAAGCCAAGAGGUGUUGGCUAAAGUCUGGCACAACUAUCAAAUCAAGUUAAAAUUGUUCUGAGAAUUGCAGAUGAAAUCUCUUCUCUGACCUAUUGGGAAGAGCGGAGGGUGAUAGGGACUAUUGGGGUGUCAAUAUAAUACCAAGUAUUAUAGUACAUCAAAAAUUUAAUUAAGAGGUAGUAAAACAUGUAACAAGUUGAAUAAACCUUCUGAAAGGGUGGUUGGACCAAAUGUAGCCAGUAUAUUCAAACAGAACCAUGCUCCAUAUAACCUAAGCCUAAUUAACAGAAAACCAGAUAUUGUCUUGUUAUUUAACAGAGAAAACCACAUCAUUGAUACUGUGAAGAUUUUUGUAAAAAGCCAUUUAUUUAACAUUGGUUUAACAUUCAACAGUUUUCUGCCAAAAGAAAUUCUUCAGGACAGAGGAGAUUUGUGCUUUCGGGUUUCUCUGUAACAGGACAAGCUGUGAUAUUUUUAUUUUAUUAACUUUAAGAAAAAUGAAAAAAAGAGAGGUUGCUGAGGGAAUGAUUGUUUAUAGCGCUAAUACACAAGUGAUAACAGGAACUAAUUUGUUUCACAGAUGUUCCACCUUCAAAAGAACAGUGUUGUUUUUAAUUUAAUUAACAAUGUGUUGUGUUUAAUUAAUAAAUACUGUAGUUGCUGCCAAAUUAUUGUGAUACAAGAGAAGUAAAACACUUCUUGAUGUGCUGUUACUAAGAAAAUAAUCAAUGUCAGGGUGGUAAAAGUAACUCUCUCAGCUGCAUCACACCACCCUGUUGUUGAUUUUUUUCCUAUAACGACAUGCCUUGUAUGUCGUAUUCCUUAUUUUAUUUGUUUUCCCUUCAUCAUUUGCAAAAACCCUUGCUGUUUUGUAUUAGACAAUGGAAUAUCUGGUCAGCUUACCAUUUAUACGGUGAAUAAUUUUAAUAUACUGGUUUGUCAUUGGUGAUAUACUCAGUAUCCAUGGUGCAUAAACUCAAAGCUUUCUCUCGCUCUCUCUCUUUCACACACAUUUUUGCACACAUACCCUGUGUACAAAGGAGCCUAUUUAUACCAAAUGCUACCAUAGGUGGCAAUGCCCACCUCCAGUUUCAAAUGUAAAAUGGCUUUGGCUGGUAGUAAGGCAGAAGUUUGGCGAUCUUGCUGUGCAUAAUUCCCACCCUUUCCCCAAGGUAAUAACUCUUUAAGAAAAAUAACAAGCUUGCUGGCAGGACACAGGCUACUUACAGCUCGUUUUCACAUUCGUGAAUCAGGCUAAAUGCCUCAUUAAUACAUGUUAUGGUCUCACAUGCUCACACACGCUUGAUGCAGGCUCAUCAAGAAAUGAUUUGCCUGUAAUAAUUACUACCAUUAAAUGCAUAUUGAAUUUUGGUUUUAGUUUGGGCUUCUUGUCAAUAUAUGACUUGUACAUGCAACCGUUCAUAAACCUGGGACGUCUUUACACCAGUUACCAUUUUCAUGUUACGUAGUGUCAGUCAAAAGUGCAAGGACACAGUCUACCUGUCUUGUAUAAUAAAUCUAUUAUGGUUUAUAUUUAUCCAUGUUUAUGUCCUGUCCUUUGCUCUCAUAAAGAUCUUUGUCUUAUUUCUACUAUUAGUUGUAUAGGACAAUGGAAAGCUUUUAUGAUGGUUUAUCAAAGGUUCUGUUUUCCACUUUUAGUCUUACACAAUAGUUUUGUCAUUGGCCAUGCAGUACUUAGAUAAAACAUAUAUAUUUCUUUAUACUUCAGAUAUGGAGCAAAUGAUAAAUGUAUUUGGGAGCUAGCACACAUCCAGAUAUUUGAGUUUCCGUUUUAUUUUUAUUUCCGAAUGCAAGGUCACAUAUUUAGGAUAUACUGUAACUGUAAAACAUUAGAUAUUUAUGAUGUUCUGAGAACAAAAUCUAAUUGAUAAAAUACUCUUGAUUAAAGGGGAGAAUUAAAGGGAUUCUAUAAAGAUUGUGGCUGAAAUCACUAACCAUUUUAGGGAUGUCCUUAAAACAAAAUCUCUUACACAGAUGUUUUAUACAUCCAUGCACCUAUACAUGUAAUUGUUUUAAAAUGCUUGUCAAAAGGACAAAAUACAUAGACUAUGACUACACAGAGUCCGGAUAUACAUUUUCUCUUAAGUAUAGUCCUGUGUGUAUUUAAUGUUGUCUAUAGUCUCUUGUUUAUGCUUGUCAUUUUUAAAUUCUAUGAUUAAAACACCAGGAGCCCAUGACAAAAAAAAAGACCCCUCCCCCCCAAAUAAAACAAUAAAUAACCACUAACUUAGACCUACGUCAGGGACUUAAAUCCUCAUGGAAUGUACACACUUAGGAAAACAUGAAUAAGAAGUCAGACUUCUUUUAAAUGUCUUUCAUGUUUUGUACCUGUCAGUUCCAAGGAGGAGCCUGCAGUGUUGAAAGAAGAUUAUGAGAAGUAUGAAGAUGAGAAGAUGACCGGUAAAAGCAGUCACUGAGCCAAAAUGCCACGUGAUAACAGCGAGUCAAAUGCUUUUUCCACAUAUGAAAGACUGAUGCGCUUGUUUUCCUAGUGAGUGUCAGGGUGCAUGUAUGAACCAGCAUCCCUGUAAUCAGUGCCUUCAAAGUCAUUACAUGGUCUGUGUGAUGGAUGGACAACGCUGUAAGCCUCUGAAGUACGAUAACUAUGAAAAAGGUCAGAUUUUGCUUAACUGAACCCCUGAAGACAGACCAAAGCUACUAUGCAGCUAGUCCCUUGGGAACGGUAACAGUGUCAUGUAUAUUUGACAAAAACUCCUAAACAUAGAGACUUUGAAAUGUAUUUGGCUACAGGGCUAUCAGUUAUUAUUAGUGAAGGAAAAAUAAUUAUUCAGACACUUUUCUUUUUUGUUAUUCAGUAUACUUCCAGUGCAUAUAUCCACUUCAAAUUUAUACACAUGUUGUUUUUUGUCUUAUGCAUGUGUGUAUAUGUACAAAUAAAGAUAUGUUUACAAAAAUGACAUUAAUUGGGGAAAAUAAAUAGGCAUACACCAUAAAUGACUAAUAUUAGUACUUCGUUGCAAGGCGGCUGUUGACAGUUACAGCUUUGAGACAUCUAUAAUAAGAAGUAAUUAUUUUUUUGCAGCUUUGUGUGUGAAUUUUUGCCCAUUCCUUAUGGCAAAUUUCUUCAAUUCCCCAAGGUUAUUAGGCUUCCACUGAAUUACAAAAUCAAUUGCUAUGUAGCUUUUUCCAUUUGAGUGUCACAAGGUGCAGUGUGCAUAAGAACAGUUUUUGCAGCAAUGAUAUCUACAACUUGAUUUAUUUUUAUGUAACUUAUGCAUAUAUACGUUAUACAUAAUGUCUGAAUACUUUUCCCUUUCAAUUUUCUUUUUCUAUACAGCUCUGAUUAUGCUACUGAAUGCAUACUUUUUUGUUCAUAUUCAAGUCAGAAUCAAUGUGUGUAAAUUUUAAGCAGAUAUUUGUACUGGAUGUAUAUUAAAUAACAAAAACAAUGUGAGGAGAAAUAACAGUGAAUUUCUUUAUCCAAGUGCUUUCCAUGAAACAUAGCUGAGGGUCAUUGAUUAAAAAAAAAAAAAAAAAGUUAAAGAAAAUCACAACUGUCCAGUCUCAAAGUCAACUUGGACCUAAUGUGUCCUGUCAGUGGAAAAUUUAGGAAUAAAAAAAAUCUCUAUGGCACCAAUAAAUACCCAGAAUUUUACUGUUCAAAUUUAAAUAAUGAGCCUAAUAUUAUGGUCAUAAAAUAAAUCUGUAGUGAGAGAAUUUAUUUUAAAGUUAAAGGGGUCCUUGGCUCCAAAAUAUUUGAGAACUCUUGCUUUAUGCUAAGAAAAAGUGCUGUAAGUAAAGGAAUAAUUUCUAGCUGAACUAUGUUCAUGUGUUCUUUCCAACAGACUCCCAAUGAAGUAUUACUUUUAAUUUUAACAUAUACUGCAUUUUAGCUAUAGCUAUAGGGUUUGAUCAUAUAAAAUCAUAUAAAGGCUUAAAGUGCAUAUCUGGAAGCAUGUGAAACAGGUUGUUUGCUUAAGCUAUUUUAAAAGUUUGAGGUACAGUGUGUGCCAAAGUUAACUGGGCAUGUGCACAGCUUUAUUAAAAAAAAAAAAAAAAAAAAAGAUUCAAGCAUGCCCUGUAAGUGUGCGUGAGAACCAGCCCAAAGAGUCAUUGCUUUCUCUUUUCUGCACUGCCAUAUAGCUGCAUUUAAAAGCACAUGUGAAGGAGGAAAGCAGAUGUGCAAACCACAGGAAACAUCAUUAGCUUCACAAACAUUCAUCCCAACGAGGCAUGGAGACCCUGUUCAGAGCACAACUGCCCCUUUCCAGUAGCAGCACCAUACUCUCCCUUGUCUUUACUCUCACUUUUCACUGCUCAAUUCUGUCACUACAUUAUUCCAUCUUUCAUUCAGAGAACCCAUUUCUACAACUACAAAUCAUAAGUUCUAGUUUCUACAUUUUCACAUUUGGUGCAUCCCCACCCACUACCUUCAUCUUUGUUUGUUGCCCUGGCCGAUGAGUAAUCCACCGAGUCAGGUCUUUAUUCAGUGUGUCUCAAGGACAAUUUCCUCCUAGAUCCCUCCUCUUCUUUUUACUUCAUCUUUUUUGAUGAGCCUUGCUCAGUUCACAGAUGGGGCAAUGGAUGCAAUCUGGGAGCCAUAUGACACCAACGCCCUUCUUUCUUCUCCUUUCAUCAUCUUCUUUACUCUUUCACCAUAGCUUUUACAGUUUUCAACUCUCAUCCAACAUCUCAUCUCAUCAUAUAAUAGGGACACAGGAAAGGGACAAACACAGCACUAUUGCCAAGAUGGAACAGUAGAAGCAUUUUUUACAUUCAGCCACAAGAUGUUGAAGAAAAGAAGAACAUGUCAGCAGUUUCAUGUGCAGUUUUAAUUGACAGUGAUCGUCAAUGUAAAUGUCAUAGCAAAGAGACUUGAAGUGCUCUAAAUUAUCUGAAGGUGGGAAAGUGCACCAGUCAAAGUGCCCCAAUACACUGUAAUGGUAUAUACAGACCCCCAGCUCAAAGACUUAUGCAUGUAAUGUGUAGAGCUGUAGCUGGAAGAAGCUAGUGUUCAGGGUUAUGUCCUGGGAACUGUUAGGUUUGAGGUAAGGUUUAUGUUUCAUAUUUAUGUGUUUAUCUGUUAGUAUGUGUAAUAAUGUGGAUUAGUAGACAAAAUUAAAUGUACCUUAAUUCAUGCAUUGAUCCAUUGAUCAUACCAACCUGUCUGCAGUUCCUAUGUCAUGCGUAAAUGAGCAGAUGGUUGACUAUGACUGGUUGGUGCUUUUAUAAAUAAAUGUUUGGUUAUGAUGUAAGGAAAACCGAUGGUUGUGCCUAUGUAUUUUAUGCAAUUCUUAAAGUAAAGAAUGAUAACUAUCAAACUGUGUUUGUGGUCUGAGCUGUUUAGCUAGCUCAUAACAAUCAUCCAGUGCAGGUGAGGUCUAAAUGCACAGGUGAACCCCAGCAGGUGGAAAGAGCUGUUCUUUGACCCUCUGUUUUAGUGCCCUCUGCUGGACACUGAUUGUUAAUGGUGAACUGAUAUGAUGAACAACAUGAGAAUAAAAAUUCAAAAGACAAAAAGAUAAUUUGGUUAAAAAUAGAUUUUCCAGACUGUUAUGCAUUGAUUCUCUUUGCUCUUUGAUCUGUUCUCCUCUGCGAUGCAGUUGGGGUUGGUGGUGAUUUUUACUAAAAGUUAUUAUUGAGCUCUAUGCAGAUAAACCUGACGUAUAUAAUAUUUAUAAAUAAUACUGUUUAAACCAGCAUACACUAUUUAGUUAUUUUGGUGUGUCUCUUAAGCCUAACAGUGUGUCUUGCUUAUCCAUGGUGCUGUGUCUCAACCAGCCUUCAGGUGAAGGUGCUGACUUGUCGAGGUGGGGAGGUAUGUCUGGUUACAUGCCUGGAAAUGUUGUAACACAACAUUGUGACCCUUCCUCUGUGAGAAGUAUCAAUGUUUCAGAGUCAUAUUAUUAAAAUAAUGAUUUAAGCUUAGUACAAACUAGAGUUGCACAAGUAGUAGUAAAAUAAAUACACUUGCAAUUCUAUAACGUGGUAAACCAAGCGAGUCCCUCUCACUUACACUAACCCGAUCGGGGUUGUAGUGGAUCCAGAGCCUAUGCCGGGUACGAGGCAGAAAUAAACACUGCAUGGGAUGCCAGUCCAUGGGCACAAUGCACACACAUUCAUAUUUUGUUUUUUUUGUGGGUUUUUUUUUUCAAUGGUAUGUUUUUGGGAUGUGGAAGCAAACCAACACAGACAUAGGGAGAACAAGUAAAACUGUACACAGAUACUUAUUCGAGCUCCAAACCCCGUGCCUUGGAGCUGUGAGGAGGCAAUGUUACUUGCUGUACCACCGCUCUGCCCUGGAUCAAUUCUAUAAAGUGUACAACUUUAGAUGCUAUAUUUAAACAGAAUAAAUUGAUGCAGUUUAUCGCUAUGGGUAUAUCAGGUGCAUAGAAUUCAGUCAACUUGUGGAAAAGAGUGAGUUUUGUCCUUAUUUUUUUCUUACCUUGCUAAGGAAACAGUCAGCAAACGAAAAGAAACAAAACAAAAACAGCAUGCAAAAAUUACUAUAAAUCCCUCCACUGCAAAACAGCUAACACAAGCGACAUGGUGAGAAAUCAGGCUGCCAAGAAUCACGAACUUGACUUAGAUUAAGAAGGUUAGACAGCAAAAUGCUUUGUUGAGAAUUUAAUUCAGACACCUUAAUGAUCAAGUGCUUUUCCUGCAUAGUGUCUUAUCAAACUUGUGACACUGAAUCUGCUUCAUAGCCAUCACAUAUUAAUCUUUACAUUUCAAUCCAGCCUAAUUUUGAAGGAGUGUGAUAAAAUAUUGGAGAUCAAACAUGCUUUGAUCACCACAUAAUGUUAAGUAGCUAAUCUUAGCCAUCUAGUAUAAUAUUUUUCUGUAUUCAUAACUACAGUAAUGUGGCUUGGCCAAUCAAACAUUUGAUCCUCUUUGAAACAGUGCCUAUUAAUAAAGUUGAUACACUAACAAAUUACACAUAAAAUUUACAUUUUUUAGUAAUUUUAACUAUUGAAAUGAACAAAAAACAGAUCAGUUACAUGGAAAAAGUAAGUACACCCCCACAUUUAUCACACCUUCAAAUCCAUAAAAUUAGAAUCAGGUGUUCAAGAUUGAAUGCCAGUGAUUAGAACCUGUUUAAGGAGUGCAGGUGGAACCUGUCAUAUUUAUACACCUCUCAAAUCUAAUGUCUGGUGUUCCCUUUGCUACUGAGGUGCGUGAUGUCAUCAUGCCAGGAUCUAAAGAGCUUUGUAAGUCCUUCAGAAAAAAAAAGGUUAAGGAUACCUGUGAGUCUAGCAAAGGUAUUUAAAAUGAUCUCCAGAUUAUUUGAUAUACAUCAUUCCACUGUAAAUAAAAUAAUCUAUAAAUGGCGUAGAUUUCAAACGACUGCCAAUUUGUCCAGGACUGACAAAUUCAGUCCAAUAGCAGGCUGUUUGAUGCAAAAAGAAGUCUCCAAGAACUGUUGGUGUAAAACUGCAUGCGUCUACAAUUAGAAAGAGCUUGAAUAAAUUUGUCCUGUAUGGGAGGCAUGCCAGGAAAAAGCCUUUGCAAGACUAAAGUUUGCCAAUGAGCAUAUAGGCAAAGACCAGGCCUUCAAAGAUAGAGUUGUUUAGCCACAGUAACAGCAGACAUGUUUGGCAGAGACCAAAGACAGCUUUUCAGGAGAAGCACAUCAUACCAACUGUGAUGCACGGUGGUGGAAAUGUUAUGGUUUGAGGUUGCUUUGCUGCCUCAGGGACUGGACAGCUUGCAUUCAUUGAUUCAACUAUGAAUUCUGCAUCAUAUCAAAGAGUGCUUGAAGAUAUUGAGACGCCAUCUGUCUGAAAAUUGAAGUUGAACCGAAAGUGGAUCUUUCACCAGCAUAAUGAUUCUAAGCACACUACAAAAUCCAUCAAUGAAUGGCUCAAAAAGAAGAUAUAGAGGGUUAUAGAAUGGCCUAGUCAAAGCUCUGAUUUGAAUCCCAUUGAAAUGAUAUGGGGGAUUUGAAACGGGCAGUACAUGCAAGAAAACCUAUUGCAUGGAAGAGUGGUCAAAAAUUCCAGCAAGCCUGGUGGAUAAUUAUUCAAAAUGCCUACAAAAAGUUACUUCUGCUAAAGGGGGCAAUACUAGCUUCUGAGGCCAAUGGCAUACAUACUUUCCACAGAAGAAUAUCACAUCUAUUGAUAUUUCUGUUGAAUAAAUGAUUGAAAAAGCUAAUUUUCCUUGUGGUUUUGUUCAAGUAUAUCAACUUUAUCAAUAGACACUGUUUCAAAGAUGAUGAAAUGUUUGCUUGUGCAAAUACUUCAGUACUUAUUUUUUUCAUAUGACUGCAUAUUCAAAUUGUAUUUGUAAUAAACUUUAGUUUUAUCAGAUUAUUUAGGUCAAAACUACAGUACCCCAGUCUUGUGCUGUGACCGCUCCAUGACCCUGUCCUCUCUCUUUACUCAUCUGACAUGCGCUUGUGGGAAAGCACAACACUGCCAGCAUGAGUAUUUGCACCACAUGCUUCUCUCCAAGUAAUUAAAUCAAUAGAAACUUUUCUAUCUGACAAAAUGUUGUUGCUUAUUCAUACCAAAUUUAAAGAUGGGGGUGUUUCUUUAAAUAGGGUGUGGGGUGCAAUGUUAUAUUUGUGCAUGAUUAAUAUUGCAGCAGCUAAAUUAACUAACUAAAAUAAAACUGGAUUUCAAGUGACUUGCUUCAUAAAUGUACUAUAUUUAGUAUGACUUCUGGCUUCUACAGACUAUGUAGUGCUCAAUAGAAAGCCUUUGGUUCGGUUUCUAGUUAUUUAAACAGCUGCACUUAGGUCGAAUGGCUGUCACAUUUUGGCUUUAUGAACAAUGAGAGAGGAAAAUAGAAACAUCACAAUGACAAGUGUGUUUGACUUGACACAGUAAAAUGUACAAACACUAAAGACCUUCUCAGAGAAUCACCACCUGUCUCAGGAUUCAUGUAGACAGAUAAUUUCUCAGUUAUGAUUACCAUCAAAGAUGUGCUAUUUCAGGACAUACAGUUACCAUGUAAAAGUCUUAAGCACAUCCAAAGUGUCACGUCACAGAGGGUGAGAUGGAUUCAAAUGCAGAAUCUUUGAAAGUUGAAACGUUUAAUCAAAGUACAAACAAAACAAGACUUACAAGAACCAGGACUUAGAAUGACGUGAGACAGAAGGAUAAACCAACAUAAUGCAAGACAAAAGUACAGUGCAAACUGUGGUUAUAUAUAUAUACACCUCAUGCUCAUUCAUAUCAAUGAGAUUCAGGUGCAGGUGGUGUGAUGAUGCCGUGUGGUGCAGUGGCUGCUGGGAACUGUAGUCUUAGUCCUUUUCUAUACAUGUACAUGACAGACCCCCCCCACUUUAAUGCGUGGCCUCCAACGCGCGUAAUCCAUUCAGGAGGGGGUCCCGGACCUGAUGUCCAUAAGCAAUUUAAAUUUCCAUUGUCUCUCAUCUCUUGUGGGGCUGGUCAGAGGACGUGCACUCAUGAUAUACACUCUGAGGUUCAGGUGUGGGGUGGUCUCUUCCACACUGCCGAGAGAUGAUGUGAUAUCCCUGGCCUGGCUUUAGUGUGGAGCCAUGGCUACUGCAAAGCCAGUGGGGGCAACGAAGUUCAAGGCGGAGCCUGAGGGAGAAGCGAUGUUCACCAUGAAGCUAGAGGGGGGAGUGAUGAUGGAUGAUCCACAAUAUUAAUCAUACCUAUAAAUGGAUAGGUGUCAUUACUUAAAUAAAAGAAAAUUGUAACCUGAAGCCAAUAUGAAGGCAUGGUGAGCAGAAAAGCAUCUCAGAAUGCAAAACCCAUCAAACCUGGCAGCAGAUGGGAUACAAGGAUACAAGAAGACCACACUGAUAAAUCUGAGGCUACUGUGAGCACAGGUUCACCAAAACUAACCAUUUGAGGAUUGGGAUAACACUGUCUGACCUUUUUACAAUCGUCAAAUGCCUAGUUCCAUUAAGCCUGUGCCCACUGCAACCCCAGAUUCUUGUUUUUGGCUGACAGGAGUGGAGCCUGAUGUGGUCUUCUGCUGUUGUACCCAAUCUGCCUCAACGUUCAAUGUGUUGUGGCUCCCGAGAUGCUCAGCACAGUUUUAAAAAGUGGUUGUUAUCAGUUACUGUAGCCUUCUUGUCAGCUCUAACCAGUCUGGCCAUUCUCCACUGACCUGUGUAAUCAACAUGGUAUUUCUGCCUGUAGAACUGCCACUCACUGGAAAGUUUUUUUUUUUUGCUUCUCACACUAUUCUGUGUAAGCUCUAGCGGCUGUUGUGUGUGAAACUCCCAGGAGAUCGGCAGUUUCUGAAAUACUCAAAUCAGCCCCUCUGGCACCAACAGCCAUGCCACAGUCAAAGUCACUGAUAUGAUAAAUAAAGUGGUCUGUAAAUGUAUGUAUAACAUACAAUCAAUAUCAAUGAAACAGAUUUGCUAAAGAUAAAUGUUAACCUUUAAAUAAAGACAUUUUUGGAUGGCACACUUCUUUACAGUAAUUCCAAGCUUACUGAUUUUUUUUGACUGCCUAUGAAGACUGUCCAUCCAAAAAAUAACAUAAUUAUGCUAUUUGAUACACUGUUAUGGAUUCACAUAGUUUAUUUGGGAUGUCUUAAUUUCAUUAACUUUUUGUUAUUUUCUGUGUGGCACUUUCUCAUUGCAUGAGGAGACAUUCUGCCACUCUCCUCUUUUCUCCUCCUAGAAGUUAAUGACAGUGCCCUUCCUGUUGGCUAAGAGAUGAAAGAGUCUGACAAACCAACAGGAUGUCCAGCAUGAAAGACAGGGCAUUGUCAGUCUCUUUGUUAAAACAAAAAGAGGCAAAAAAAACAAAACAUUCUGUGUGGUUUCUUGAACCCUAUAUUGUCUCAGCCUAGUACUCACUUAUUCACCCUUUAUUGUCUCAGCUUAGUACUCACUUAUUCACCCUUUAUUGUCUCAGCUUAGUAUUCACUUCUGGCCUUCUUCACACUAUUCAUCAAGAAAACUCCCUGGAUCAAACAAUGUCAGCAGAAUGGAAAUGAAGUUUAAGCAAAUUAACCAGUGAGGAAACAAUGACACAGGCUUUCUGUCCAUUAUCCAACACUAGAUUCAGAUCAGAUGAAAGUUUUCAGGAGCUGUAGCUGGUAAGAUAAAACAAACUUGUUAAUAUAUUGCAAAGCUGGCUUCUUGGGAAAAAAAAAGGUUCCAUCUAGCACCCUAAAGUGUUCUUUAGUUUGUCCCUCCGGGAGAAGCCUUAAGCAUCAUAUGUAGCGCAAAGAUUUCUCUAAAGGCUUCAGUUAGAACCUCACUGAAAAGCAAGAAUUACUAAGCAUCCAAAGAGGAACCCUUAAUAAUCAAAUGUUAUUGUACAGAUCACAUGGUGAUCUAGUUUUAUUUAGCAUAUUUACUCAUUCCCUCUGAAAAUAAUUCCUGGCUACAAAACUGAUAUGCAUUACAUGACAACUGUAAACUUGACCACCAAUAAGCUAAUCCCGAAUGUUUAUCACAGAGAAGCACGCCAAUCUUGACUUAGCCUGAAGUAGCAGGGUUGCUAGGUUUGUGGUUCCCCCAGCAAGUUUGAUAAGGUAUAAAAUUAUGAGGAUGCCAAAAUCUGCCAUAGAAAUUCAGCUAGUUUGGGAUCUGGUGAUUGUGAGGGCAUAUGCUUAACAUAAUUUUCAUACUUAUCAAACCAUUCAGUACCCUCUAUGUACCCUCUAAGCAGACAAGUGUACAAAAGCACGGCAGCAAACUGCCCCCACAGGAUAGCAGUUUGUCCUUUAAUUUGACACAUGUCUGUAUAGUAAGCCUGUCUUUAAAUAUCUGGCAGCCUAAUGACAGAGACAGGCACAUUUGAGAGAGGAGAGGCUGAGUGAGUGGUGCAUUUGAUGACAUGCCAUUGAUAUCUACAGUAGUGUCCAUCCAUAUAUUCACGAUUCCCAUGAUGAUUCUCUAGUAAAGUCAAAAUACUUGUUUGCGAGUCACAGUACUAACUAUGUUGAGGAGGGAGUUGAUACAGGUCAAUCAGAGAGUAUGAGGAAGAGCAAAGGGAAAAAAGUGAGUAAAAUUCACUGAAAUGACAAGCACAGAUUUUCUAUUGGUGCAAACCAUUGUGUUGCCCACAUAGAUUGCAGUAAAUUUGGAGAAUCUGUUGUCUGCAAGUCUGACAAAACCCACCCUGUGGUGUUUCAAUUUCUCUCUACCAUGCCAGGUAAUGUAAUGUAGCACUAUAAGAAGUGGAGUUACAGUUACCACCAAGGUGAUUAUUUUCCAAUAAGAGCAAUUUGGCAUUUUUUUUUUAAAAGUAUAAUAUUUCAUACAUUUUAUCGAUACAUAAUAAUAUUUAAUGUUGUGGAACAUCUGUGAACCAAGUUCAUGAUAUCGCUUAUGUUAUAACAGUUGUUUCUCAAUCACUUGAAGAUUUUUAAAGACAACAAUGCAGCCUUGUCAUGGUACUAACAAACUGCAAAAUGUGAAGACUUUCCUCUGGAGGAAAACAUACAGGAACUAUGUAUAUCAAAUUGCUGAUGUAGUCUCCUUCUAUAUUUUUUUUUAAAAACAAACCUGUCCUUGCAGAAAUAUUCAUAAUAGCAAAGAUUACACAUUUUUGUUACAUAACAACACGUUUUAAUAAAAUUCACCUUAUAUAUCCUUUGAGCAGGUCAUAACAAAACCUAACCUAUGAUUUGCCUUGAGGCUAGCACUACUGUCAGAACUUUAUUUAUAGGAAACACCUUCUGACCAAUCAGAAUAAUUAACAGCAGUGCUGAGAUGUCCAUUGUGCAGGUUUAAAUGUACUGUAAGAUCACAAACGAUAUUUGGAUUUAGAAAUGCUCCUGUUUUUUUGGAGCUUACAGUCAAACAAAUCAAGAAAACAGUAAUUUGAUUCUUCUUCUUCAACUCUGGGUUUUCAUCUUGGUGGUAACAUGACCCAGAGAUACCUUGCUACAGUUAUCUAAUAUUUACAUGCUUUGCCUGACUUAUUCUGUGUCAGUUAGAGGGUAACAUUCUGAAAGAAACAGUUCUAUGGCUGGGAAUGUAAUUGGGGAUUAUGAAACAACUCAAAAAGACCCUAAACAUUGACUUCUUUAGCCAAAAACCUUUGAGUCAAUUAUGUGCGGCAUUCAUGCAGGAAGUGAAACACUCACAAGGGCAGGGUCAACAAGGCCACCGGGGGGACGGGUGGAUGGGGGACGGGGUGUGAAUCACCUCGUACACAUCAUUAUAUCAACAAGAACACAGAAUCUGUUCAUUCUGCAGUCCAUUACUGGUAAAGUAAUGGGUUCUUCAAACACACACACACACACACACACACACACACACACACACACACACACACACACACACACACACAAUGCUCAGUAUUCCACCCUGCCUGCUGAUAAAGAAGCAUUCUCUUCUCUCUGAACUAGGAAUGAGGGAUUAAAUAAAGUGUCAAACAGAGAGAAGCGAGCCCACACAUUUGACAAAUGUUGCAUAUAAAGGCAAGUCAGAGUGCGGGAGGUUUUGUUUUUGAAGUGGCUGGUGGGAGAACCGAUUAGGUCACUAGGGGUGAAUGUGUUUGUGUGUGUGAGACAGAAAACGGCAGACGCAGGGAGUGACAUAAAAUAAAAAUGUGAGAAAGAAAAGACAUCAAGAGUUACAUGAGACGAGAGGAUUUAGGGAGCCAUGCGAUAAAUAUCAGCAGAGAAGUAGAUAAAGAGAUGCAGAGAUCAACAAAAAUGCUAGCAUGACUGUCUGUGUGUACCUCCAGGAGAAAAUGGGAUAAAAUACUUCCUGUCACCCAGAUGUGAUAAAUUCAUGCAGAAAUUCAAGUCUAUAUUAAUAGAAGCCUUUCUUCUUCCUAGACAUGUCUUUUACCAUGGAGUCAACCAUGGGUUUUUAUAUGAUACUGAAUUUGGUAUUGGUUUGUUUUAGUUGUGAGCCAUUCAGAUAAAUCCAGGCCCGAUCCUAAUUACUCUGGAAACAUCUGAAGAGCAGACAUGUUGGCAACCAGUCAAGCAGAACUUGAUUUAACUUAGAGUACAGUUAACUGUAAAAGUCUUAAUGAACUGGGUGAUACGCUACAUUUAGCAAGGAUCGUAGUUUGUUAUAUUUUGAAUUUUCACUGUCUAUUGUACUUUGUGUGAAAACUGGAGUUUAUUCAUUUCUAACAUUUACAGUUUAUAAUAAAAACAGAUUAAAACAGACUCUGUGUGUGUCUGCCUGCCCAAAUCAUUCUAAUACAAACAAUACCAAUUCACUCACUGGAUCAUGACAUUGGGCCUCGUAAAACGCCUCAUGUUAACUCAUCUCCACUAUACUGAUAGAUAUCGCAUUUCGUCUCUUCACUAAAUCAACAUUCCUAAGGGCCUCACUACUUUUACAACCCGAGCUGCACAUUUCUGUCCCAUUUGCUCCCAUUUGUGCUUCUCUCAUAGCUUUUUAUUGAGUGUAGCCUGGAGAGCGAGACGUUCUUCACACACAUCAUUUAUCAAUAGUGCCACCCCAUUCCUGCAGAGUUACAGUCCUUUAGGGCCAAAGACAUAAGGUUUUAUUUGUGGGUACCUUCCUGAACUUCUGUUCUAAUCCAUCUCUUUAAGACCUCUUCCCUACAACAGGGAAAAUGAAAAUAGAUAAUCAUGAAGAUAAACAAUCUUAAUGUAGGCUGUUAACCGCAGCGUGUGCCAACACCAAUAUAAACGCUGAAGAUGUUGAUCUCUUUCUGUGGCAGGUGUGGAGGUGCCAAGCCAAGAGUCCCAGACGGGAAGCAGCAGACACGGUGUCGUCCAGUUGUCCAAGUGCAUAUCAUCUUCUAAUGAGCCUGACAGAUGCUCUUGGCCUUCUAACAGACCGCAAGCCAAACUGUCCCUAUGCUGGCAUUUACGUGUUUAUCAUUGGUGGAUGUUCAUCAGCAAAUGUUGUACAACAUAAUCAAGCCUAAAAAAUGUUGUCUAGACAUGUGUGGUUUCUUAAGAAACAUACCUGUGGCAUCAUGUAUGCUUUGCAGCUUUUAAAAAAUUUCUUAACAGUCAAGAGCAAAAGGUUUGAAAGAAUCAUAAGGCUGACAUAUACAUGAACAGGUCAGUGUAUCCCUAUGACCAGGAUUUCAACUUCCUGUCCAGACUUCAGCAAUCUGCUGUUCUACACAUCCAGCUGUCCAGAGCUUUUUCUGUGUCCCACAACAUGCACAGCGGCUUUUACAUCCAGGAAGCUCCACUAUGCUCCUGCAGGUCUAGAGUUGCAGCAAAGUUUGGUGAUUUUCUGUCCUACCUCACCUGAUCACUUAAAGGUGUGUUAUAUGACAUGAAUAGUCACAAACAUGCCAGUGUACGGCAGUAUUUAAUAUUUGCCAUAGGGUAUAAUCAUGAAAAUCAUCCAUCCAUCCAUCGUCCAUACUGCUUAUCCUACACAGUGUCACGGGGGAGCCUGGAACCUGUCCCAGGGAACUCGGGGCACAAGGCGGGAGACACCCCGGACAGGGAACCAACCCAUCGCAGGGCAGAAAUCAUGAAAAUCAAGUCAAUUUUUUUUUUUACUGAGUUUUAUUUCUACAGUGCAUUUAACAAUAGACCUUGUCACAAAGCAGCUUUACAAAGAUCCUAAUGGAGAUUUAGAUCCCUAAUGAGCAAGCCAGAGUUGACAGUGGCAAGGAAAAACUCCAUGAGACAACAUGAGGAAGAAGCCUUGAGAAAUAUCAGACUGGGAAGGAACAAAUCCACUUCUGGGUGACACCGGAUAGUGAGAUUAUAAAUCCACAACUGUAUAUUAUAAUGUCAAACAGUACUAAGUGAAAAUCAAGGAUUUGGCUCAAGAAUUGUUGUAUAUUCUACUACACAGUUUCCCAAGCCUGGUCCUUGACUACCCCAUGGCGUGCGCAUUUUAGUGUUUUCCCUGUUUUAACAUACCCUCUUCAACUCAGGAAGGGCUGACAAUCAGCUCAUCAGUUCAGUCAGGUGUCUUGGGAGCAGGGAAAGCACAAACAUGUGCAGGACAAGUGGACCAGAGCUGGGAAUCGGUAGCAGGUUGGCCAUCAUUGAUGGGUUUAAUAGCUGGCUGAUCAGUUUAGUUGUAGUAGAUAUGUUAGAACAGGAACAACUCGACUCAUACAACUCGACGCUUGCUGAUUUUGUUUGCUUUACCACUCAGAGCCACAUGCACCAACAGUGUCUUGAGAAACAGAAGCCAGGCAUGACGUGUUUAUUUAUCAGCUAAUAAAUGCAUACCAGAUGAUGAGCACUUGAGUCAAAUGCAGAGAGCAUAAACAAAGUGGAAAGCACUAAGGAAAAUAGGCUAAUCAAGCUUGUAUUUGUGUGUGUGUGUGUGUGUGUGUGUGUGUGUGUGUGUGUGUGUGUGUACGUGUGGAUGGAAAUAAAACAAACACAGCUGCCCACAAAAACUCUCACACCCAGCUCUUUCGCCUUUUCCGCACAGCACCUUUUCCAUUUCCACGCGUGCUAUUUCCGAGCGAGCGGAUGCCAAUCGUUUGCUGUCAUCACUAAUUCGUUUUUGGCCGGAGGUCGCACUAAACGUAGCUGUCCGUUAGAUCGGUGCACCUAGCUUGCCUUUAUGUGUGAGGAGUGUCCAGAAUAAUAGAUAACUAACGCAACAGGGUAAGAAGCGCGCGCGUGACCUGAACUUCAACCAAACCGCACGCGCCACUAGUGCAAACAUCACCGCUGUUCAGUUAUUCUCGUUAUUUCUGAACAGUUACUUCAGUUGAUGAAAUGCAUAACUUACCUUAAACAGCAACAAAGACCACAGGAAGAGACGUGCCGCCGAUGCGCUCAUGCUAGCUCCGGCAGCUUCACCUCUGUCAGUUGAAUCUGCGCGGGUUGAACGCACUGCGUCUAAUGGACUAUGCGAGCGCGUGGAGUCUCGCGGCUUUUAUUGACUCCCACCUUAUUGGAAAAGCAGCUUCUGACGACACCACGUUUCAUAUUUACUUCCCACUAGUAGUGCACGGGUAGCACGUUGUUACUAACUUUAUGUCAGUGAGGGGCUCUCCUGCCCCUACAGUACACACUCUUAAAGCAACACACUCAGAAGCUUUGACACUGUUCUGGUCAGGGCAUGCAACAUGAUAAUGAGGUGUUCCGUGCCGUGAUGCUACCACGCUGUCAACUCUAUUUAAACCCCUAUCUGUCAUUUUUUGGCUCUCUUAGUCUUUAAUUCCUGACAUGAACUUACAAGUGGUGCAUAUUUCAACCUGCCCACUGGAUCAUCUCUCUUCACUCAGUGCUGCUGAUGAAGAGCAGACUUUUUUGUGUGUGUAUGUGAACUACUGUUUUCCUUCAUGCACCUUUAGUUGUGGUAGGUCACUAAAUCAAAUGCACAUCACAUUCCAGCACCAGACAGAGUAAAACAAUCUGAAUUAGAAAAUCACA